Molecule: ribosomal RNA, 465 nt
Filed under: uncultured Klebsiella sp.
Lineage: Bacteria; Pseudomonadati; Pseudomonadota; Gammaproteobacteria; Enterobacterales; Enterobacteriaceae
Description: bacterial SSU rRNA
Rfam family: Bacterial small subunit ribosomal RNA
Source: RNAcentral
CCUACGGGGGGCUGCAGUGGGGAAUAUUGCACAAUGGGCGCAAGCCUGAUGCAGCCAUGCCGCGUGUGUGAAGAAGGCCUUCGGGUUGUAAAGCACUUUCAGCGGGGAGGAAGGCGGUGAGGUUAAUAACCUCAUCGAUUGACGUUACCCGCAGAAGGAGCACCGGCUAACUCCGUGCCAGCAGCCGCGGUAAUACGGAGGGUGCAAGCGUUAAUCGGAAUUACUGGGCGUAAAGCGCACGCAGGCGGUCUGUCAAGUCGGAUGUGAAAUCCCCGGGCUCAACCUGGGAACUGCAUUCGAAACUGGCAGGCUAGAGUCUUGUAGAGGGGGGUAGAAUUCCAGGUGUAGCGGUGAAAUGCGUAGAGAUCUGGAGGAAUACCGGUGGCGAAGGCGGCCCCCUGGACAAAGACUGACGCUCAGGUGCGAAAGCGUGGGGAGCAAACAGGAUUAGAUACCCGUGUAGUC